This 523-nucleotide small RNA is filed under the name uncultured Fusobacterium sp. Its description in RNAcentral is "bacterial SSU rRNA". The stretch from base 1 to 341 matches the Rfam family "Bacterial small subunit ribosomal RNA", at positions 1194 to 1533 of the family's 1533-position model. Lineage: Bacteria; Fusobacteriati; Fusobacteriota; Fusobacteriia; Fusobacteriales; Fusobacteriaceae. The record is from RNAcentral.
CAUGCCCCUUAUACGCUGGGCUACACACGUGCUACAAUGGGUAGAACAGAGAGUUGCAAAGCCGUGAGGUGGAGCUAAUCUCAGAAAACUAUUCUUAGUUCGGAUUGUACUCUGCAACUCGAGUACAUGAAGUUGGAAUCGCUAGUAAUCGCGAAUCAGCAAUGUCGCGGUGAAUACGUUCUCGGGUCUUGUACACACCGCCCGUCACACCACGAGAGUUGGUUGCACCUGAAGUAGCAGGCCUAACCGUAAGGAGGGAUGCUCCGAGGGUGUGAUUAGCGAUUGGGGUGAAGUCGUAACAAGGUAUCCGUACGGGAACGUGCGGAUGGAUCACCUCCUUUCUAAGGAGACAAUGUCUUUCUCUAUUCUAUUGGUAAUGUUCUUACAUUACUUCUGAACAUUGGAAACUAUAUAGUAGAACAAAAAUAACUCUAAACAAUUUCUUAGAGUUAGCUGUCAAAAAAAUAGAUUAAAAUAAUUAAGGGCACACAAAGGAUGCCUAGGUAGUAAGAGCCGAUGAAGG